RNAcentral lists this ribosomal RNA (498 nucleotides) under uncultured bacterium. Its description in RNAcentral is "partial 16S ribosomal RNA". It matches the Rfam family "Bacterial small subunit ribosomal RNA", at positions 30 to 523 of the family's 1533-position model. The record is from RNAcentral.
AUUGAACGCUGGCGGCAUGCCUUACACAUGCAAGUCGAACGGUAACAGGUCUUCGGAUGCUGACGAGUGGCGAACGGGUGAGUAAUACAUCGGAACGUGCCUAGUAGUGGGGGAUAACUACUCGAAAGAGUGGCUAAUACCGCAUGAGAUCUACGGAUGAAAGCAGGGGAUCGCAAGACCUUGUGCUACUAGAGCGGCCGAUGGCAGAUUAGGUAGUUGGUGGGAUAAAAGCUUACCAAGCCGACGAUCUGUAGCUGGUCUGAGAGGACGAUCAGCCACACUGGGACUGAGACACGGCCCAGACUCCUACGGGAGGCAGCAGUGGGGAAUUUUGGACAAUGGGCGCAAGCCUGAUCCAGCAAUGCCGCGUGCAGGAUGAAGGCCUUCGGGUUGUAAACUGCUUUUGUACGGAACGAAAAGCCCUGGGUUAAUACCCUGGGGUCAUGACGGUACCGUAAGAAUAAGCACCGGCUAACUACGUGCCAGCAGCCGCCGCAG